GAGUUUGAUCCUGGCUCAGAUUGAACGUUGGCGGCAGGCCUAAUACAUGCAAGUCGAGCGGUAACAGAUCGCUGUGAUCCCUUCGGGGUGAACUUGAUGCUGACGAGCGGCGGACGGGUGAGUAACGCGUAGGAAUCUACCCAGUAGCGGGGGAUAGCCCGGGGAAACUCGGAUUAAUACCGCAUACGCCCUACGGGGGAAAGGCGGGGAUUUCUUCGGAGACCUGUCACUAUUGGAGGAGCCUGCGUUGGAUUAGCUAGUUGGUGGGGUAAAGGCCCACCAAGGCAACGAUCCAUAGCUGUUCUGAGAGGAAGAUCAGCCACACUGGAACUGAGACACGGUCCAGACUCCUACGGGAGGCAGCAGUAGGGAAUAUUGCACAAUGGGCGAAAGCCUGAUGCAGCCAUGCCGCGUGUGUGAAGAAGGCCUUAGGGUUGUAAAGCACUUUCAGCAGGGAGGAAUUAGCACGGUUAAUACCCGUGUGAAGUGACGUUACCUGCAGAGGAAG
RNAcentral lists this ribosomal RNA (508 nucleotides) under uncultured bacterium. RNAcentral describes it as "bacterial SSU rRNA". It matches the Rfam family "Bacterial small subunit ribosomal RNA", at positions 9 to 490 of the family's 1533-position model. The record is from RNAcentral.